RNAcentral lists this ribosomal RNA (429 nucleotides) under Verrucomicrobiota bacterium. Its description in RNAcentral is "Verrucomicrobia bacterium partial 16S ribosomal RNA". It matches the Rfam family "Bacterial small subunit ribosomal RNA", at positions 355 to 776 of the family's 1533-position model. The record is from RNAcentral. Lineage: Bacteria; Pseudomonadati; Verrucomicrobiota.
UAGGGAAUCUUCGGCAAUGGGGGGAACCCUGACCGAGCAACGCCGCGUGAGUGAAGAAGGUUUUCGGAUCGUAAAGCUCUGUUGUUAAGGAAGAACGAGUGUGAGAAUGGAAAGUUCAUGCUGUGACGGUACUUAACCAGAAAGGGACGGCUAACUACGUGCCAGCAGCCGCGGUAAUACGUAGGUCCCGAGCGUUGUCCGGACUUAUUGGGCGUAAAGCGAGCGCAGGCGGUUAGAAAAGUCUGAAGUGAAAGGCAGUGGCUCAACCAUUGUAGGCUUUGGAAACUGUUUAACUUGAGUGCAGAAGGGGAGAGUGGAAUUCCAUGUGUAGCGAUGAAAUGCGUAGAUAUAUGGAGGAACACCGGUGGCGAAAGCGGCUCUCUGGUCUGUAACUGACGCUGAGGCUCGAAAGCGUGGGGAGCGAACAGG